Molecule: long non-coding RNA, 99 nt
Organism: Ipomoea nil (Japanese morning glory)
Lineage: Eukaryota; Viridiplantae; Streptophyta; Magnoliopsida; Solanales; Convolvulaceae
Exons: 3
Source: RefSeq, a predicted model, not a curated record
GGAUAAGCUAAUCUAGCUAGAUCGCCUGCAUAUACGUACUCAAGCUCCUAAGCGUUGCAUGAACAGUGUGGCCUUCGUCUAUAAGCUUCUUCACCAAUG